Molecule: ribosomal RNA, 603 nt
Filed under: Chaetomium globosum
Lineage: Eukaryota; Fungi; Ascomycota; Sordariomycetes; Sordariales; Chaetomiaceae
Description: partial large subunit ribosomal RNA
Rfam family: Eukaryotic large subunit ribosomal RNA
Source: RNAcentral
GCAUAUCAAUAAGCGGAGGAAAAGAAACCAACAGGGAUUGCCCUAGUAACGGCGAGUGAAGCGGCAACAGCUCAAAUUUGAAAUCUGGCUUCGGCCCGAGUUGUAAUUUGCAGAGGAAGCUUUAGGCGCGGCACCUUCUGAGUCCCCUGGAACGGGGCGCCAUAGAGGGUGAGAGCCCCGUAUAGUUGGAUGCCUAGCCUGUGUAAAGCUCCUUCGACGAGUCGAGUAGUUUGGGAAUGCUGCUCAAAAUGGGAGGUAAAUUUCUUCUAAAGCUAAAUACCGGCCAGAGACCGAUAGCGCACAAGUAGAGUGAUCGAAAGAUGAAAAGCACUUUGAAAAGAGGGUUAAAUAGCACGUGAAAUUGUUGAAAGGGAAGCGCUUGUGACCAGACUUGCGCCGGGCGGAUCAUCCGGUGUUCUCACCGGUGCACUCCGUCCGGCUCAGGCCAGCAUCGGUUCUCGCGGGGGGAUAAAGGUCCUGGGAACGUAGCUCCUCCGGGAGUGUUAUAGCCCGGGGCGUAAUGCCCUCGCGGGGACCGAGGUUCGCGCAUCUGCAAGGAUGCUGGCGUGAUGGUCAUCAGCGACCCGUUUGAAACACGGACCA